RNAcentral lists this long non-coding RNA (3013 nucleotides) under Gallus gallus (chicken). RNAcentral describes it as "lncRNA (ENSGALG00010004898.1)". Lineage: Eukaryota; Metazoa; Chordata; Aves; Galliformes; Phasianidae. The record is from RNAcentral.
GGUGAGUUAACAAAACUUAAAGAAGAACUUGUGUAAGCAUCUGAUGCCUCCUUGCUACAUUGCGAACUCCAACCAGUUUUCAGUGCAAUCUGUGAGGCUUGUGGAUUCCCCAGAUCAAAACCCCAACUUCUUAGAGAAAGAAUGAGGUUGAAGAGAAGGAAGGAGGAGUGGGGCUUACCACAGGCUGUGAGCAUCCCAUCCAGAGUCUUGAAUCAGUGCCCACACACUGAGUGCGUUGUUGGCCUUUUAAACUGGUGUUAUGUAAAUACAUUAUGUUAUAUUUAUCUUAAGCUGCUGCAGUCUAUAAAUAUUCAAGUGUCUGCUGCCAUUUUUAUGAAUGUAAGUAAGACCCAUGUUGCACUAAUGGCAGUUAUGUUUUCAAUCACAGAUGGGGAAGAAUCUCAAGAGACACUUAAAAGCAUGGAGGGUAUUAAACAUCCAAUAGGCAAAAAAUCCUAAGGCUUAAAGAAGGAAAAUAACCAGUUUUAAAGGGAACAUUGCAGGUAACCAACUCUGCUCAUAUACUUUCUGCACCACAAUCACAGUAAGCUGGAAACUUCUCCAAAAAAGCAUAAAUAUUCCAUUCUGUAAUAUAUAACCUUCUGUGAGACAUGGUAAUUUAGCUCUGCCACCAUGUGUGCAUGUACCACUGAGUAGUCAUAGGCAGGGGUACUGCCUAUGUGAGUUGUUCAGUCUCUCUGAAAAACAAUGAAUGUCUCCAGCGUGUUUGUUCUUCAAGAUGUAAGGUUGCUCUGAAAGUAACACCUCCUAUUUAUUUCCAUGGAAUCUACAACUGAUAGAAUAACGCUAUUUGAUAGAGCAGAUUUUCAGCUGUUGGAACUGUUUUCCAACGUAGUCACCAACAUUACUUAAGCAUUUUCACCAGCAAUGACCAAGGGUCUGCAUGCCAUGCUCAUAAAAAUCUGUACCCAGUGGAGGUGACUCAUUGUGCCGCUUGCUCCCUUGUGCCUUGCAGCAAUCAGGAAAGCUGGGAUUCAGCCACCUUCCUGCCCUAGCACCUGUGCAGAAUGCCUUAUUGUCCAAUGCAUGUGCUUUUCUAAGCAGUGUGUGAUUUCUUUCUGCUAGCUAUCAAGAGUGUCCCAUUAGAUGUUUGUAAUGCAGUACUUUGCUAAAUAGCGUGAUUUGGUCAUCCUCCUACUCCUUGCCUGGAAACUUCUCAAAUUCUUUUAACAUCCAUUAGUUUUGUAAUUAUUCAAAUUAAUUAGGUCAUUAUCAGCGGAGAAAUAAAUUUCUCUUUUCCCUACAUGCAAAAUAAUUGUUCUGAUACAGUAUUUCUGCCACAAAAACUCUGAGAUUGACAGGCUGGGAUGGUGACCGUGGCAGAAGACCUUGCAGACGCAGCUCUCUCAUCUGAACAUCCUUUUUACUCUACAGUAGAAACAAUGAGGAGAAUAAUUUACUUUCAUGAAAAUCCUACUGAGCGUGAAUGAGCAAAACAGAGAGAACUCUCCUUAGCUGGGAUCUUCGUGGUGUGCUGUGCCUCACUUCAGAUUGCCACACUGACCUCGAUGUUUAGGAAGGAUACCAUUAUUUAAAAAUAAUUCCAGUAUGCCAUGGAUGGCAUUUGCUAUCAGCAGGGUGCUCAGAGAUCCUACACUUUGAAGGAAGACACAGUCAUUGAAUUGCCAUGAUGUACAUACUCCUUACUGUUUUUGGACACUUGGCAAUCUGAUACGAUUUAUCUGUGCAGAAAACUUCCUGGAUUGGAACAGCAUCACUGUAAGGUGUUCCCCAAAAGAGAGUUCAAAGCUGAUUGAUUGACAUACAAAGAAAACUGCUGUAAUAGACAACAAAACAGAUGUAAAAACUCUAGGCCAGCAUCUUGCUCUCAGGAAAAAGUUACAGUAGCUGUUCUAGCAAAGCUUUAGUUUCAUUAGAAUGCUAGAUUGGCAGCUCAGAUGUAUGUAAAUUGUACUUUUCAAAGCAGGUGUUAAUGUAGCUCCAUUACUACAGCCUCCUGGAAAUUAUUUACAGACAAUCUUAUGUUCUCAUGUUUCCCAUGCAGAAAAACUGCAUGCACUGUCUGCCUAGCAAUCAGUGUUUCCUGCUGUCAAACCUCAACAUCCUUUUCUAUACCAUGUUGCUGAUGCUCUUCACCAAGCAUCAGCUCGAUUGGAAGUAAAAGGAAAAAAGCUGGGGAGGAAGUAUUCUUAGGGCAGGGUUAAAGUUGUGUUACUGUUCUCAGGAGGGAAUGAAAAUACAAUGGACUCAAUCCAGACUUGUAUGCAUAGGCUACUGAUAACACAACCAGUGAGAGCAAAAUUAAUUUUCUCCAUCUGUCUUACAGUGAAAAAUGCUGCGAGUGUCAGAAGAAAUAUGUACUGCAUGGUACUAAUGUGUAAAGUUAUAUAAACAGCAAACAAACAACAGCAAGAAUUGAAGUUGAAUCAGUUCACCGGGUACAGGGUAAAAUCCAUAAGCUCUCAUUCUAAAAGUCCAUUGAUUUAUUCAGAAAUAUGUAUUACUGACUGAAGGAAUGAGCGCUAUAGGAUUGCCCCUCACCCUCCACCCAUAGUCCAAAUCAAGUGAAAAAUAGGUGAAGGGAGUGAAGCAUUCAUGAGAAGCGGUUCUUGAGAUGGUGCACAGCACAUUUAGCAUUUGGGAUUUAUGACUUAAUGUGGCAGCGGUACCACAUAAUGCAUAUGUAGUUGAAUAUAUGCUCAAGUUCACUGCUUCUCUGAUGGAAAUAAAAGUUCUUCAACUGAGCCCCAGCUCAUGAACUGCAUUACAAUACGACUUAUACAGAGAAGAGGUCACAGCCUUCUCUUGAAGCUACCUGAAUACUGAACAGGAAUGAGGAAGUAUUUAUCUGCUUAUGAAGUGUCCUGGGUACGUGCGCUACAUCCAGUCUAGAGCAUGUAUAAGCCAUUUGUUUGAGGCAGUGAACAGCAUCCCCAAGUGCCACACGAUGGCAGCCUCUCAGAGGACUGAAAGCUUAAAAGGCCAUUCCUGGUGGUGCAGCCUAAAUUUUAAGCCUGAAGAUAGAAUUUAC